RNAcentral lists this unclassified non-coding RNA (612 nucleotides) under Thaumatophyllum bipinnatifidum. Its description in RNAcentral is "Philodendron bipinnatifidum partial external transcribed spacer". The record is from RNAcentral. Lineage: Eukaryota; Viridiplantae; Streptophyta; Magnoliopsida; Alismatales; Araceae.
GACCGUGACGGUACGUGAGUGGUGAGAUAACCCAGUGCGCUGGCGGGCCCCCUGCUUAAGUGCGGCCGACCGCGAGUGCGAUGGGAUAUGCUUCGUUCGUGAAAUCCCAAAAUCAUCGGGGCUCCGUACGAUGCGGAGGGCAUAUUCGGUGGGUUGUAUCGCAUAGUCGGCACGCGGCAACUUGGUGACCCUACGUUAGAAACAUCAUGUCCUCCUCCUCUCUCUCGCCCGCUCCCCUGGGACGGGCGGGAAGCGAGAAGCGACCCCUUACGACGACGUCCCGUGCGUCCUCGGCGACGCUUGCAGUCGCACGUGUGCGUACGUGCUGCCUGCUUCGUCCGUCCGUCCGGACCUCGGGACCGUUGAGUGCUUACGGAUGCGGUGAAUUGGAUGCGGGUCGGGUGGGCGCACGCUGCUGCCGACCCGACCAUCGGAAGGUGUUUGCGCACGCCGCGGCGAGCGGCGGGUAGACGAACGGGACGGAACGGAACGGAAUGAACGACCGCCGGCGGGCGGGCGUGCGUCGUCGUCUCGUCUCCACGAAGGGAGGGAGAGGCGAUGGGCUGCGCCGUCCGCGGGCGUCGUCUCGAAGGGCUCGCUACCUGGUUGAUC